RNAcentral lists this transfer RNA (54 nucleotides) under Melanotaenia sexlineata (Fly River rainbowfish). RNAcentral describes it as "tRNA-Val". The record is from RNAcentral. Lineage: Eukaryota; Metazoa; Chordata; Actinopteri; Atheriniformes; Melanotaeniidae.
GUGUACCGGAAGGUGCGGUUGGAAUAUAUCAAAGUAUAGGGAAGAAGUGUAGCA